GCCUGGGUGGCUCAGUCGGUUGAGCGUCCGACUUCGGCUCAGGUCAUGAUCUCACAGCUCGUGAGUUCGAGCCCCGCGUCAGGCU
Molecule: non-coding RNA, 85 nt
Organism: Felis catus (domestic cat)
Lineage: Eukaryota; Metazoa; Chordata; Mammalia; Carnivora; Felidae
Source: Rfam